CUUUACUAUAGCUUGACACUGAACAUUGAGCCUUGAUGUGUAGGAUAGGUGGGAGGCUUUGAAGUGUGGACGCCAGUCUGCAUGGAGCCGACCUUGAAAUACCACCCUUUAAUGUUUGAUGUUCUAACGUUGACCCGUAAUCCGGGUUGCGGACAGUGUCUGGUGGGUAGUUUGACUGGGGCGGUCUCCUCCUAAAGAGUAACGGAGGAGCACGAAGGUUGGCUAAUCCUGGUCGGACAUCAGGAGGUUAGUGCAAUGGCAUAAGCCAGCUUGACUGCGAGCGUGACGGCGCGAGCAGGUGCGAAAGCAGGUCAUAGUGAUCCGGUGGUUCUGAAUGGAAGGGCCAUCGCUCAACGGAUAAAAGGUACUCCGGGGAUAACAGGCUGAUACCGCCCAAGAGUUCAUAUCGACGGCGGUGUUUGGCACCUCGAUGUCGGCUCAU
This 442-nucleotide ribosomal RNA is filed under the name Escherichia coli. Its description in RNAcentral is "partial 23S ribosomal RNA". It matches the Rfam family "Bacterial large subunit ribosomal RNA", at positions 2099 to 2540 of the family's 2925-position model. The record is from RNAcentral. Lineage: Bacteria; Pseudomonadati; Pseudomonadota; Gammaproteobacteria; Enterobacterales; Enterobacteriaceae.